This 260-nucleotide ribosomal RNA is filed under the name uncultured bacterium. RNAcentral's name for it is "partial 16S ribosomal RNA". It matches the Rfam family "Bacterial small subunit ribosomal RNA", at positions 524 to 776 of the family's 1533-position model. The record is from RNAcentral.
UACGUAGGGGGCGAGCGUUUGUCCGGAAAUCAUUGGGCGUAAAGAGCUCGUAGGUGGCUUGUCGCGUCUGCCGUGAAAGCCCGGUGGCUUAACGUACGGGUCUGCUGGUGGGAUACGGGCAGGCUAGAGGCUGGUAGGGGCAAGCGGAAUUCCUGGUGAGCGGUGAAAUGCGCAGAUAUCAGGAGGAACACCGGCGGCGAAGGCGGCUGCUGGGCCAGUUCUGACGCUGAGGAGCGAAAGGACGUGGGGGAGCAAACAGG